GUGCCAGCCGCCGCGGUAAUACGGAGGGUGCAAAGCGUUAAUCGGAAUUACUGGGCGUAAAGCGCACGCAGGCGGUCUGUCAAGUCGGAUGUGAAAUCCCCGGGCUCAACCUGGGAACUGCAUUCGAAACUGGCAGGCUAGAGUCUUGUAGAGGGGGGUAGAAUUCCAGGUGUAGCGGUGAAAUGCGUAGAGAUCUGGAGGAAUACCGGUGGCGAAGGCGGCCCCCUGGACAAAGACUGACGCUCAGGUGCGAAAGCGUGGGGAGCAAACAGGAUUAGAUACCCUGGUAGUCCACGCCGUAAACGAUGUCGACUUGGAGGUUGUGCCCUUGAGGCGUGGCUUCCGGAGCUAACGCGUUAAGUCGACCGCCUGGGGAGUACGGCCGCAAGGUUAAAACUCAAAUGAAUUGACGGGGCCCGCACAAGCGGUGGAGCAUGUGGUUUAAUUCGAUGCAACGCGAAGAACCUUACCUACUCUUGACAUCCAGAGAACUUAGCAGAGAUGCUUUGGCGUCCUUCGGGAACUCGUGAGACAGGUGC
Molecule: ribosomal RNA, 539 nt
Filed under: uncultured Enterobacter sp.
Lineage: Bacteria; Pseudomonadati; Pseudomonadota; Gammaproteobacteria; Enterobacterales; Enterobacteriaceae
Description: bacterial SSU rRNA
Rfam family: Bacterial small subunit ribosomal RNA
Source: RNAcentral